Molecule: long non-coding RNA, 1660 nt
Organism: Lutra lutra (Eurasian river otter)
Lineage: Eukaryota; Metazoa; Chordata; Mammalia; Carnivora; Mustelidae
Exons: 4
Source: RefSeq, a predicted model, not a curated record
CUUCAGGCGUAGGCCUUCAGGAAAGGGGCGUGGUCGUGGGGGUGAGGAGGGAGAGCGCGAGGGCAAGGAGCGGUGGGCUCCCUGCGGCCGCGGGGUGGGGCUUCGGUCCCCUCGCUGCGCCCGCGUCUCCUCGGAAAAGGCGCCAGCCGCUCGUGAGAUGAAGUGCGGGCCGUUAGGUUUUUAAAUCCUCGCCCUUGAUGUUUGUGCGUAUAUCGGCGCCGAAAACAUACUUGCAGAUUCGCAGUAGUGAUCAUUUUAAUGCGGUGGGUAUUGACCGUUUCUGCUGAAACGGAAGGAAACAAACUGCUCACACCCCAAACAAACGGCUAAGGACCCCUGAGUCUCAACACAGAGACACAGAGAACAGGCCCGCGGGAGGAAAGGGAGUUGACCUGUAGCUCCCCAUUUCAACGUCAACGUCUAUCAGUGCAGUGAAAGUGGACGGUUGAAGGUCAAAAAGCAGCCAUUGUGAUGUAACGUACGUAGGAAGCAGAGGAAAAGCAUGCCUCUCCAAGUAACGGAAGAUGUGGAUACCCGUUAGGUCAGUCUUGUCAUGCCACGGACAAGUCCUUGAAACAGGCAGAAUGACAUUCCUCUAAGGACUCAACUGCCUCGAUGUUAAUGUUUAUGCUAAGGGAAAAAGGCAACUUUAGCCCAACCCCCAGGAUCUUAAAGGGGUACUAGGAAACAUGACCCUGCUCACUGAACCAGUUUGGAGACUGCAAAGGGGAGGACUGGCACAGAGAAUGGAGUACUGGCUUUGCCAUGAACAUUGUGUUUGUGAACAAGGAAACUAUAUAAAGGACUUAAAUAUCCUUUGGAGAGAUCUUUUAAAAGCUAUAAUUGACAACUCACUGCUCAGCCUUUGCAUCUGAGGUGGGAAGAGAGUCGCUACACAAAUUCAGACCGGAAAAAAUACAAUGAGGACAAAUGCUCCCAAACAACAUGAUGGGAGAACAACAGAAUUUAGUGUCAUCUUUUAGAAUUAGAAAUGCCAAAUUGGUAUAUUCCUUAUGGAAAACUUUCUUUUAAAUGAAGCACACAUCGUACAUAAAGGAAAUCUGAGUAGUAAGACUGAAUAAGAAGAACUAUAGGAUAUACAACCUUCAAUAACAUUGUUACAGUUGUAAUUUAAUCAUAAAACAUUUGAGAAUUACAAACCAUGUUCUUCUAGUCUGUUUGAUUUGACAUUCUGAAAUUCCUUAGACUAUUUCGUAAAUAUACUUAUACACCUUGUCAUUUUUUUCUUUGAAAUAAAACUGCAACUAGAUUCGAGCCAUCCUUGCAAGAUGUAUUUUGCAUUAUGAAUAUGUUCACAUGAUGUGUCUGAGACUAGCUUCACAAUAAAUCAGUGCGGAAUGGGGAUGACAGAAAGUGGGUUUGGUGUAGAUGAAACAAGGUUUGUUUAACUUCUGUAGGUAUUGUCCAUAAUAAAAAAAUAAAAAGAGGAAAACUGCAUAUGGUAUUAAAAUGUGUUCAAUUUUGGUCAUUACUUUUAUUUGCUUGCAUUGUGAAAUAUGGUUUUAAAAUUUUCAUCUUGGCUCAUGGAUAAAAUCAUUUCAUUAUCCUUUAUCUCAAACACAAUGUUUGGCCUAAAUGUUAAAAAUGUUUUAUUGGAGAGAUUAUUUAUUAUUAAAAAAAUACAUGGUUUACAUCCUUG